This is a non-coding RNA of Heterocephalus glaber (naked mole-rat), 3082 nucleotides long. NCBI's taxonomy places the organism in Eukaryota, Metazoa, Chordata, Mammalia, Rodentia, Bathyergidae. The record is from RefSeq and is a predicted model, not a curated record.
AAAAACAAAACAAACAAACAAGAGUAUUACCUUCAUGGAGGUAAUUUCCUGUUCUCUAUCUCUAUUUACAGAUUUUGAUGAUUUGGCUCCCUGAUCUUCAACCACAAUAAAAAUUUAAAGAUCCUACAGGGCACUGAUUCAAGCACUGAUUAUUCACAGCAACAUAUAAUAGACUUUCCUCACCCAUAGCUUCAUUUUCUAUGGUUUUACCCAUCAGUGUUCAACCGUGGUCUGAAAAUAUGAAAUGGGAAAUGACGGAAGUGAACAAUUUAUGAGUUUGAGAUUACACAGCAUUCUGAGUGAUGUGAUGAAAUCUCAUGUCAUGCCAUCCUGCUCUACCUGCCUGGGACAUGAAUCAUCCCUUUGUCCAGCAUCUCCAUGCCAUGUACUUGACCCCUGUGAGUCACUAGCCUUCUGGAUAAUCAGAUGGACUGUGGAGGACCUGCUCAUGAUGCUUGUGCGCAGGUGUCCCUUACAUAGUAACCUAAUGCUUCAUCACAGUGCCUCGUCAUUCACCUCACUGCAUCUCAUCACGCAGGCACUGUGACACCUAACAUUGUCACCACAGGAAAGGGGAAGGAAGGCCGUCAGCACGGACCACUGAAAGGUGAAUGGAGGCUCUGUACACCAAGCUCGCUGGCCGUUACCAAGGGAAGCAUGCUUCCAGACGUCUCCUCCAGUACAUCAUGGCCUGACUGAGACUUCAGGGCCCAGAACAGAAAACCAAGUAACUGUUGAAUGAACAGAAGAGUCACUAUGGAGCUAUUGCUGAUAAUUUUGUUUUCAUGCACAGAGAAGACUUGGCAGUGUUCAAGGAGCUUUGAAUUAUUUUAUCUCAUUGGAUUUUUAGCUAGGGCUAUUAUCUCUAUUUUCAGAAAAGAAAUUUCAAGAUCUAAAAAUAAGUUCCUUCCUUCCUUCCUUCCUUCCUUCCUUCCUUCCUUCCCUCCUUCCCUCCUUCCCUCCUUCCCUCCCUCAUCUCUUCCUCUCCCCUUAAGAUAACCAGUAAUUGGGUUCUUUACAUACAUGUGCUGAUGUCACACAGCCUGCGUCCGAUUCUGACUUUGUGUUAAUUUUUUAAGUGAAGGACUUGGGCAAAUUACAUAACUUCUGAAACUUCAGUUUAUUUGCCUACAGAUGAGGAUUACUGGUAGUAUUUGGAAGAUGUUAAAAGCAUGAAAGCAAACAUAUGUGAGUAGCAUAGAGUAAGCUCUUAAUAUAUGUUAGUUGCUGAUUCUUAUCAUUGUUGAUUACUACUCAGUCACCACACGACUAUCACCACUAUAAUGUCACCACUGUCCCACUACAUUGUCACCAUCACUUCACCACAAUGACCACCAUUAGGUCAUCACCAGCAGCACCACCACUAGCACCCAUUCACUAUGACAUCAGCACCACUGCCAUGUUACCACCCCAGUAUCAUCACCCCCCACCAUCAUAAUCAUAGCAUUCCCACUAUCACUUCCCACUACCAUAUCACACCAUUACACCAUCAUCAUCCUCACCAUCACUCCGCCAAUGGUGUCAGGCAUUGCUUAGGCACUGUGCUAUUCCAGGUAGUGGCUGUACUAUGGUGUAUAGCUACCUGUCCCUGCAAAGCCUCACGUGCUUAGAGGCAGGGUUUUUGGAUGGUGAUUGGAUCACAGAGGGUUUAUAGCUUACUGGCUGUUAACAGGUAGGGUUUGGUUGGAAGAGCUGAGUCCAGGUGAGUCACUGGGGGUGUGGCCUGGAAGACUGCAUCUCCCUGCUCAGCUCCUCCCUUUGUGUGCUGCUUCCUGGCCACCGUGAUGGGAGCCGCUUUCCUCCACCAGGCCUCUGUGCCAUUCUGUUUCUUUUUGGGAACCUGUCGACUAUGGAUUGAAACAUGAGUCAAGUAAACCUCUCCUCCUUUAAAUUGUGGGGGCCCAGGAUUGUGUCUCAGAGAUGGCAAAGUGACUAAGACAAGGUGCCUGAGCUAUGACCCACACAUUAUGCUAAUCGCCUUACAUAUACUUAAUUCUUAUGGCAACUCAUACAGCUAGAAGAUAGGAGAACCAUGAUUGCAACCCAUGUCUGUCUGAUUAUAACACUGUCGAUGUUAAUUACCAUCCUGAACUCACAUGAUCUAGUGAGUAAAAAAGUCAUCCAUGCAGCUAUUAUGGUGUAGUGUGAUAACUGACAAGAUCAGGAAGGUGUUAUGGAAUUAGCCAAGAAGGCCCCUGACCAGACUGGGGGAUGGAGGAUUGGUUAAGGAGGCUUCUUGGUGAAUGCAUCAGGAGGUAAACCCUAGAGAAUGCGACAGAGUUCACUGAGGCUUCCUAACUAGCAAAUGGCAGAGCAAAGUCUGGACUCUGACUGCUGGUUCACUCCGCUGCUCAUCUUUUGUAAACUCACAGUCUGGAACAUGGAAUUCCUCUCUAGUCCUUGAUCUUUAGCUGCUCCUAAAGACUCUGCUUUUAACGAAAUGAUGAUUUCAUCCUACAGUGAAUGAAGACUGCUUUGCUAAGGGCUGCUAGCUGCUGUCAAGGCAUUCUCAUGGGAUGCCACUUACUACAGUGGCAGUAAGUCCAUGACCACGGAGUGAUGACUCCUUCCUUGAAACUCCUUCAAAAGGAAGGAAGCACCGUGGUCCGGGCCGAUUCCACAGCUGCUGGGUAAUGCACAGGAAGAGAGCCUUUGGAUGUCUCCCAGGAUGAAUGAGUGGAGAUUCUAGGGAAGGCAUAAAAUUUGGACUUCCAGAGGUUGUAUGUCUUGGAAUUGGAAAAAUGGGGUUAUUCUCUGGUUACUCUUCUCUUUGGUUAAAGCUGCUUCCUGAAUAUCAAGGCUUUGGAGUAGAUACUUCAGCUGAACCAUAGGGUAGAAAAGGCUCAGGCUCAAGACUUAUUUCCCAGGAGAAGGCUCAGGAUGACUCAGAAGGAUAGAACAGGCUGGGCUGGAGAGAAACAGGUACUAGGGAUCACUUCAAUCGCCUGACAUUGAAGUUACAAGCUUAAUGGACACAGGUCUGGGUAUCUGCCAAAUACUUUAGUGGUGAGAUUUUCUUCUCUUACAUGAGAACUAGAGCUGUCAGAGGACAACAGUUGUUGUCCUCUUUUUUUUUUUUUUC